UACGAAGGGGGCUAGCGUUGCUCGGAAUUACUGGGCGUAAAGCGCACGUAGGCGGAUUGUUAAGUCGGGGGUGAAAUCCUGGAGCUCAACUCCAGAACUGCCUUUGAUACUGGCGACCUUGAGUCCGGGAGAGGUGAGUGGAACUGCGAGUGUAGAGGUGAAAUUCGUAGAUAUUCGCAAGAACACCAGUGGCGAAGGCGGCUCACUGGCCCGGUACUGACGCUGAGGUGCGAAAGCGUGGGGAGCAAACAGG
RNAcentral lists this ribosomal RNA (253 nucleotides) under uncultured bacterium. Its description in RNAcentral is "partial 16S ribosomal RNA". It matches the Rfam family "Bacterial small subunit ribosomal RNA", at positions 524 to 776 of the family's 1533-position model. The record is from RNAcentral.